AGUGAACGCUGGCGGUAGGCCUAACACAUGCAAGUCGAACGGCAGCACAGUAAGAGCUUGCUCUUACGGGUGGCGAGUGGCGGACGGGUGAGGAAUACAUCGGAAUCUACUUUUUCGUGGGGGAUAACGUAGGGAAACUUACGCUAAUACCGCAUACGACCUACGGGUGAAAGCAGGGGAUCUUCGGACCUUGCGCGAUUGAAUGAGCCGAUGUCGGAUUAGCUAGUUGGCGGGGUAAAGGCCCACCAAGGCGACGAUCCGUAGCUGGUCUGAGAGGAUGAUCAGCCACACUGGAACUGAGACACGGUCCAGACUCCUACGGGAGGCAGCAGUGGGGAAUUUUGGACAAUGGGCGCAAGCCUGAUCCGGCCAUACCGCGUGGGUGAAGAAGGCCUUCGGGUUGUAAAGCCCUUUUGUUGGGAAAGAAAAGCAGCAGGUUAAUACCCCGCUGUUCUGACGGUACCCAAAGAAUAAGCACCGGCUAACUUCGUG
RNAcentral lists this ribosomal RNA (492 nucleotides) under uncultured bacterium. RNAcentral's name for it is "partial 16S ribosomal RNA". It matches the Rfam family "Bacterial small subunit ribosomal RNA", at positions 29 to 507 of the family's 1533-position model. The record is from RNAcentral.